CUAGUGGACAUUCUGUGAUUCUGUGGUAUUUAUUUAAUCUGUUAUUUUAAAAAGGCUACAGGUACCGACUGCACUGAAACACAGAUAAAUUGCUGAGAAUCAGAUACAAGCCUUUUUUUCCUUUCUCUUGAAGAAAAGUAAGCGCAGCUUCUCCAUCUUUGCUGUAAGGUGUCAACACACAUGGAAUCUCUCAGAUUCACAGCCAACAUCCAGCAGGCAGUGAAAGAAAAGAGCAUCAGGGAAUCAUGCAGUAAAGCUCAGAUACCUCUCCCUUCCCCUCCUUGGCCUUAACAAACGUCUCCAAGAACCUCUACCAUUCACAGAGCAGAGAGAGAAGCGAGGGGAUGUGGCCUCUGCACAGACAAGAGAGGCAGCACAGGCAAACAGCAAGGCAAAGGUAGGCACACUUAAAUCCCUGCAGGUAAUGACUUAAGCAAGAAGCAACAUCGGUGUGAACACCUUGUAACUUUAUCAA
RNAcentral lists this long non-coding RNA (475 nucleotides) under Coturnix japonica (Japanese quail). RNAcentral describes it as "lncRNA (ENSCJPG00005011050.1)". The record is from RNAcentral. Lineage: Eukaryota; Metazoa; Chordata; Aves; Galliformes; Phasianidae.